This 711-nucleotide unclassified non-coding RNA is filed under the name Hevea brasiliensis (rubber tree). The record is from RNAcentral. Lineage: Eukaryota; Viridiplantae; Streptophyta; Magnoliopsida; Malpighiales; Euphorbiaceae.
AUCAAAUUGAAUUUUGAUGGUUUCAGCUGAUAAUGAAAAUUUAUGUGGAUUGUGUUAUUAGCAAUUCCGUAUGCCAUAUUAAAAAUCUAAGUAGAUUGAUGUGAGUUCAUCAUCCCUUUGCUCAAGCUUGUCUCAGUAGUAAGCAGUUAUACUUUUUGUAUAAAGAAGAUUGGUUACUUGUGGUUUACUGGUAAGUAGGGGCUCCUUGGAGAAUAGUUGUUAUAAUUUAAGUUUUUAAGAAUUUUGUGAACUAAAUGAAUUUAUAAUGGUUGUUUCUCAUGGUUUGUAGAUAGGAUACUUGUGUGAUUAGUCAUUUGGCUAGAUUCUGACUAUGUAUCUGGAUGAUUUUAUGAAUUGUGCUUAAUUACUAUCUUGAUGAAAAUUAACGUUCUGAAAAAAGAAAUAGAGGAAAAUUCUAUUGGGUUCUGGUUAAGGCGCUUGCUUUAAAGUGCAGUUGGCCAAAAUAUUGACAUUGCUUAGAACCUCAUAAUUCAUUUCAUAUUGGUUUCUUUUUUAUUUUCAUUUUUUAUUUAUUGUUCUUGUAGGUUUAUCAUGAUUCACUUCUUGUUUUUCACUUCGAUAAACAAUGCCCAAGAGUUCAUAUCUUUAUUUGAUAAUUACUUCUGAAACAAGAAUGAAAAUGCUCAUAUUUUGUGCUAUUCUCUUCAUGAACUGCUUUUCUGCUUGAUUGCAUUCAGUUGGUGGUUCAAG